Molecule: non-coding RNA, 72 nt
Organism: Phrynosoma platyrhinos (Desert horned lizard)
Lineage: Eukaryota; Metazoa; Chordata; Lepidosauria; Squamata; Phrynosomatidae
Source: the annotation of a GenBank genome assembly
GCCAGCGUGGUGUAGUGGUCUGAGUGUUGGACUAUGACUUUGGAGACCUGGGUUCAAAUCCCUGCUCAGCCA